AUUGAACGCUGGCGGCAUGCCUUACACAUGCAAGUCGAACGGCAGCGGGGACUUCGGUCCGCCGGCGAGUGGCGAACGGGUGAGUAAUGUAUCGGAACGUACCAUUGAGUGGGGGAUAACUAUCCGAAAGGAUAGCUAAUACCGCAUAUUCUCUCCGGAGGAAAGCAGGGGACCGCAAGGCCUUGCGCUCAUUGAGCGGCCGAUAUCAGAUUAGCUAGUUGGUGAGGUAAAGGCUCACCAAGGCGACGAUCUGUAGCGGGUCUGAGAGGAUGAUCCGCCACACUGGAACUGAGACACGGUCCAGACUCCUACGGGAGGCAGCAGUGGGGAAUUUUGGACAAUGGGGGCAACCCUGAUCCAGCCAUGCCGCGUGAGUGAAGAAGGCCUUCGUGUUGUAAAGCUCUUUCGGCCGGGAAAAAAUCGCACGGGUUAAUACCCUGUGUGGAUGAUGGUACCGGAAUAAGAAGCACCGGCUAACUACGUGCCAGCCGCCGCAGUAA
RNAcentral lists this ribosomal RNA (500 nucleotides) under uncultured bacterium. RNAcentral describes it as "partial 16S ribosomal RNA". It matches the Rfam family "Bacterial small subunit ribosomal RNA", at positions 30 to 523 of the family's 1533-position model. The record is from RNAcentral.